RNAcentral lists this transfer RNA (58 nucleotides) under Dipodomys ordii (Ord's kangaroo rat). It matches the Rfam family "tRNA", at positions 8 to 63 of the family's 71-position model. Rfam says of the family: Transfer RNA (tRNA) molecules are approximately 80 nucleotides in length. Lineage: Eukaryota; Metazoa; Chordata; Mammalia; Rodentia; Heteromyidae. The record is from Rfam by way of RNAcentral.
UGGCUCAGUGGUAGAGUGCUUGCCUUGCAUGCAGGAAGCCCUGGGUUCGAUUCCUCAG